UGGGACCAGUUUCUGGAACAUUCGGGACUGCGGCACCUUACGGCCAACCGAGAUUUGGGUCUGCGCAGGCGACGAUGGGUGGUCCGAUGGGCUUCAGGACUUGAUGGCGUAACCCCCGUCUUCCCCCACGUACCACAUCCAUCUGGUUCACGACGGUUAUUUCAUUUAUUUCUCACCGCAACCCUGCGAGGAGUGUCCCAUGGCCGGAACUUCGGCAUCAGGAAAACACCAUGGAAACGCCAUGAGCAUUGGUGGUGGCGGAGUGAGGGUUAAACAGUGAGCCUUCCUGGGAUCCUUUUGAUGCCAGGUUAGU
Molecule: long non-coding RNA, 313 nt
Organism: Balaenoptera ricei (Rice's whale)
Lineage: Eukaryota; Metazoa; Chordata; Mammalia; Artiodactyla; Balaenopteridae
Exons: 3
Source: RefSeq, a predicted model, not a curated record